UUGACCAGAAAAAACGAUCGCCGGGUUUGCAAAAACCGGGAGGAAAGUCCGAACACCACAGGACAGGACGCUCCAUAACGUGGAGUCACGGUGACGUGAAGGAAAGUGCAACAGAGAGCAGACCGCCGGAAUCAGGUUUUGAUUCCGGUAAGGGUGAAACGGUGCGGUAAGAGCGCACCAGUUUUCCAGGUGACUGGAAAAGCUAGGUAAACCCCGUCCGGUGCAAGGCCAAAUAGGGAAACGCUUGAGGGCUGUCCGCCCAAGUUUUCGGGUAGGUCGCUGGAGGUGUACGGCAACGUGCAUCCUAGAUGAAUGAUCGUUGACCUGCUUGAGGUAACAAGAGCAGGUAACAAAAUUCGGCUUAUUGACUGGUCAGGCCG
This 380-nucleotide RNase P RNA is filed under the name Pseudomonadota bacterium. Its description in RNAcentral is "Proteobacteria bacterium (groundwater metagenome) RNase P RNA component class A". It matches the Rfam family "Bacterial RNase P class A". Rfam says of the family: Ribonuclease P (RNase P) is a ubiquitous endoribonuclease, found in archaea, bacteria and eukarya as well as chloroplasts and mitochondria. Its best characterised activity is the generation of mature 5'-ends of tRNAs by cleaving the 5'-leader elements of precursor-tRNAs. The record is from RNAcentral. Lineage: Bacteria; Pseudomonadati; Pseudomonadota.